This 34-nucleotide ribosomal RNA is filed under the name Ulvella repens. RNAcentral's name for it is "partial 28S large subunit ribosomal RNA". Lineage: Eukaryota; Viridiplantae; Chlorophyta; Ulvophyceae; Ulvales; Ulvellaceae. The record is from RNAcentral.
CGACCGAGUCAGGCGAGGCACCGGUAUAUGUGCG